GACGAACCGUGCAAACGUUAUUCGGAAUCACUGGGCCUAAAGGGCGCGUAGGCGGCUUUCUAAGUCAGGGGUGAAAUCCGGCAGCUCAACUGUCGCAGUGCCUUUGAUACUGGAAAGCUCGAGGGAUGUAGGGGUCUGUGGAACUUCCGGUGGAGCGGUGAAAUGCGUUGAUAUUGGAAGGAACACCGGAGGCGAAAGCGGUGUACUGGGGCUGGUCUGACGCUGAGGCACGAAAGCCAGGGGAGCGAACGGG
Molecule: ribosomal RNA, 253 nt
Filed under: uncultured bacterium
Lineage: Bacteria
Description: partial 16S ribosomal RNA
Rfam family: Bacterial small subunit ribosomal RNA
Source: RNAcentral